This 906-nucleotide ribosomal RNA is filed under the name Curvularia kusanoi. Its description in RNAcentral is "LSU rRNA". It matches the Rfam family "Eukaryotic large subunit ribosomal RNA", at positions 38 to 962 of the family's 3401-position model. The record is from RNAcentral. Lineage: Eukaryota; Fungi; Ascomycota; Dothideomycetes; Pleosporales; Pleosporaceae.
GCAUAUCAAUAAGCGGAGGAAAAGAAACCAACAGGGAUUGCCCUAGUAACGGCGAGUGAAGCGGCAACAGCUCAAAUUUGAAAUCUGGCUCUUUCAGAGUCCGAGUUGUAAUUUGCAGAGGGCGCUUUGGCUUUGGCAGCGGUCCAAGUUCCUUGGAACAGGACGUCACAGAGGGUGAGAAUCCCGUACGUGGUCGCUAGCUAUUGCCGUGUAAAGCCCCUUCGACGAGUCGAGUUGUUUGGGAAUGCAGCUCUAAAUGGGAGGUAAAUUUCUUCUAAAGCUAAAUAUUGGCCAGAGACCGAUAGCGCACAAGUAGAGUGAUCGAAAGAUGAAAAGCACUUUGGAAAGAGAGUCAAACAGCACGUGAAAUUGUUGAAAGGGAAGCGCUUGCAGCCAGACUUGCUUGCAGUUGCUCAUCCGGGCUUUUGCCCGGUGCACUCUUCUGUAGGCAGGCCAGCAUCAGUUUGGGCGGUGGGAUAAAGGUCUCUGUCACGUACCUCCUUUCGGGGAGGCCUUAUAGGGGAGACGACAUACCACCAGCCUGGACUGAGGUCCGCGCAUCUGCUAGGAUGCUGGCGUAAUGGCUGUAAGCGGCCCGUCUUGAAACACGGACCAAGGAGUCUAACAUCUAUGCGAGUGUUUGGGUGUCAAGCCCGAGCGCGUAAUGAAAGUGAACGGAGGUGGGAACCCGCAAGGGCGCACCAUCGACCGAUCCUGAAGUUUACGGAAGGAUUUGAGUAAGAGCAUGGCUGUUGGGACCCGAAAGAUGGUGAACUAUGCUUGAAUAGGGUGAAGCCAGAGGAAACUCUGGUGGAGGCUCGCAGCGGUUCUGACGUGCAAAUCGAUCGUCAAAUUUGGGCAUAGGGGCGAAAGACUAAUCGAACUAUCUAGUAGCUGGUUCCUGCG